AUCGCUUCUCGGCUCUUUGGAGCUAAAAUCAAAGCGUAGUCUCUGUUCUUAUCAGCUUGAUCUCUGAUCUCCUUGAUGUGAGGACUGUAUGUUAGCUCAAUUUUUGAAAUGAGGGGGUCAGAAGAGAAGCUUGCUUUGUCUGCCCCAUGCAUCGACCUGGUAUUGCACUGUCUCCAGGAACGGUGUAUCUCCC
RNAcentral lists this small nuclear RNA (193 nucleotides) under Gopherus evgoodei (Goodes thornscrub tortoise). Its description in RNAcentral is "U2 spliceosomal RNA (ENSGEVG00005010572.1)". It matches the Rfam family "U2 spliceosomal RNA". Rfam says of the family: U2 is a small nuclear RNA (snRNA) component of the spliceosome (involved in pre-mRNA splicing). Lineage: Eukaryota; Metazoa; Chordata; Testudines; Testudinidae. The record is from Rfam by way of RNAcentral.